Non-coding RNA from Triticum urartu, 140 nucleotides. The record is from Rfam. NCBI's taxonomy places the organism in Eukaryota, Viridiplantae, Streptophyta, Magnoliopsida, Poales, Poaceae.
UUUAUACUCCCUCCGUUCCGAAUUAUUCGUCACAGAAAUGAAUGUAUUUAGAUGUAUUUUAGUUUUUUUGAAUGAAAUGUAUUUUAGUUUUAGAUGCAUCAAUUUCUGCGACGAGUAAUUUAGAACGGAGGGAGUAAAAA